UUGCAAUGAUGUUUUGAAUUUCUUCGACUGAUAAAAUUAUGAAGAUUUAAAAAUGAGCUUUUUAACACUGAGCAAU
This is a non-coding RNA of Pelobates cultripes (western spadefoot toad), 76 nucleotides long. The record is from the annotation of a GenBank genome assembly. NCBI's taxonomy places the organism in Eukaryota, Metazoa, Chordata, Amphibia, Anura, Pelobatidae.